AUUGAACGCUGGCGGCAGGCCUAACCCAUGCAAGUCGAGCGGAUGAAAUUUGCUUGCUUCUUGGUUCAGCGGCGGACUGGCGAGUAAUGCCUAGGAAUCUGCCUGGUACUGGGGGAUUACUUCCGGAACCGGGCGCUCAUACCGCGUACGUCCUGAGGGUGUAAGCGGGGGCUCUUCGGACCUCCCGCUAUCUUGUGAGACUAUGUCGGCUUGUGUAGUUAGUGGGGUUACUGCCUCCCACGGCGACUAUCCGUAACUGUACUGAGCGGAUGAUCCGCCACACGAGAACUGAGACACGGUCCACACUCCUAAGGGAGCCAGCAGUGGGGAAUAUCGGACGAUGGGCGAAAGCCUGAUCCAGCCAUGCCGCGUGUUUGAAGAAGGUCUUCGGAUUGUAAAGCUCUUUAAGUUGGGAGGAAGGGCAGUAAGUUGAUACCUUGCUGUUUUGACGUUACCAACAGAAUAAACACCGGCUAACUUCGUG
This 484-nucleotide ribosomal RNA is filed under the name uncultured bacterium. Its description in RNAcentral is "partial 16S ribosomal RNA". It matches the Rfam family "Bacterial small subunit ribosomal RNA", at positions 30 to 507 of the family's 1533-position model. The record is from RNAcentral.